Long non-coding RNA from Dendroctonus ponderosae (mountain pine beetle), 904 nucleotides. RefSeq lists it as uncharacterized. The transcript is spliced from 6 exons. The record is from RefSeq and is a predicted model, not a curated record. Lineage: Eukaryota; Metazoa; Arthropoda; Insecta; Coleoptera; Curculionidae.
AGCCCGCAACCAGCUGAGAUGCAAGACAGGCAUUUGGUUUGGUUUCGAAUCGUUUCUUCACUUUCGACGUUUCUGCACGUCUCACAAGAUCCGCGCUAAGAACGCGAAUGAAGAAAUGCCCUCCUGGCAACGAAUUUUCAAGUUUCAAAAGAAGAUCCGGGAGGCUGGUUCCCGAUUUUGCUCUGUCUAAAUUUGGCGUGCUUCGAUACUGCUCAGUAGGCGGGUUGGCGCGUCGCGCAAUUAUUGUUUUGGUUUGGUUUUGUUUGACUUACGGAUACCUUCAAUUAUUUGAACACGAAAUUUUGUUGAUAUUUUCCACGGUUUUGACGCGAGAUACAUUUUGAAUAAAUAAUAUGUUCGGAAGGUAGUUCAUGUGAAAAUUUGACGCACUUUUUAGUUGGUAGUGAGUACAUGAGCAACCAAAGUCAAAACGAUGAACCACGUUGGACAAAGUGAUGGGAAUAAUGGCUGAGUACUAUUGAGCACUCAUAACUUAGGUAUACAGAUAGAGGAAAAGAAAUCGUGUUCUUGUGAUGUUGAAAUGCUGCUAGGUGCUACUGACCGACCACCUUUCUUCAAUUGCGUAUCGAGGAAAAGAAUUGAAUGGGAGUGGCAAAAAUUGGCCAAGAUCUUAUACCAUUGCACUCUUAGAGUUCAAUCAAUUUCAACGCUCAUUAAUUCAAUGAUCACAUUUAGCAUUUUCUUGAGAGCAUGGGAGGGAUUUUCUUGAGAAAUUCAAAAUCUUGUGCCAGGGAAACUACGGAAGAACUGCCAAGAAGCUUUUGAUCGGUUCCAGAAAUGGUGCAGUGAACGAAAGAUACUCAACUUAACAAGCUACAAAGGAUUAUUAGUAUAUUUUAAGAAAGUAAGCAUAAUACAGGGUGGCCAUUUUCUGAAUAUUUGU